Molecule: long non-coding RNA, 292 nt
Filed under: Elaeis guineensis (African oil palm)
Lineage: Eukaryota; Viridiplantae; Streptophyta; Magnoliopsida; Arecales; Arecaceae
Description: long non-coding RNA (EGUI_LNC031736)
Source: RNAcentral
UGGCCUUCUCAAGAUCUCAAUCUUCUCAGGUCAGUCACUCAUAGACCUGCGAACUAGCAAGAGAGAAAUAAAAGUAAGAUGAUUGAUAAGGGCUUGAGAUCUCUCUAUAUGAGAUCUUUGAGCUAUGAAAGUUUCUCCCUUUUGUAGCUUAUCUUUUUUGGUUCCCCUUGGCCCUAUUUAUAUAGCAUAAGAGCAUGGAUCCAUUACAAUUUGGAGGUAGAAAUCAAGAAAUUGUUGUAACCUUCUUCUUUAUUUGAUUUUAAAUCUAUUAUAGUCAACCUUUCAUUUAUGG